GGGAAGGUCACCAGAUGUCAAGAUCAGUACGGUGACUUGUGCUUAGAUUGUCGAAGUAAAUGGCUCCCUAAAGAUAGACACUUAGCUGCAUCUAGGAGAGUCGAGCAUGAUAAAGAGUCAACUCUUGUGAAACAAGUGUGGAGAGUUCGUAGGACUAAUUCUUUAGAUAAUCCCAAGUCUUGUAGGACUAGUUCUAUUUAAUCUCUCUUCUUUUGAAACAAUUUUAAAUGUCUGUAAUUUGUAAUCCUCGUUUGAACUAAGUGACCGUGUUUUGUUUCUU
Molecule: long non-coding RNA, 280 nt
Organism: Erigeron canadensis
Lineage: Eukaryota; Viridiplantae; Streptophyta; Magnoliopsida; Asterales; Asteraceae
Exons: 2
Source: RefSeq, a predicted model, not a curated record